CCGCAUCUGUGCAUGCAGCAUACCAAUAAGCGGAGGAAAAGAAACUAACAAGGAUUCCCUUAGUAACGGCGAGUGAAGCGGGAAGAGCUCAAAUUUGAAAUCUUCAAGGUUUUACCUUGACAAAUUGUAGUUUAAAGAAGUGUUUUCUGUUGAAGUUUUGGUAAAAGUUCUUUGGAAUAGGACAUCAUAGAGGGUGGGAAUCCCGUAUUUGACCAUUAUUUUCAGCUGUGUGAUACACUUUCAAAGAGUCGGAUUGUUUGGGAAUGCAGUCCAAAAUGGGUGGUAAAUUUCAUCUAAAGCUAAAUAUUGGCGAGAGACCGAUAGCGAACAAGUACCGUGAGGGAAAGAUGAAAAGAACUUUGAAAAGAGAGUUAAACAGUACGUGAAAUUGUCAAAAGGGAAGCGUUUGACACCAGUGUUGUUUUCUCGAAAAUCAAUUAAAAAGAGUUAGAUUUUGUUGUGUAUUGACCUUAACAGCUUGCAUUUCAAUUUUCUUGCUUUUUUUAAUGCACUUUUCGUUUAACAAGUCAACAUCAGUUUCUUUUGUUGUAAAAAGGUCAUUGGAAGGUGGCUUUCUUUUCGGAGGGAAAGUGUUUAUAGCCUUUGACUCCUGCAAUCGGAGAGACUGAGGUCUGCAGCGUAGAUCCUUCGGGGUUAGAUACAUUUGUGCUAAGGUUAUAGCUUUUUAUAGACAACUUGUUGACUAUGAUUAGUCUUGUAGCUUACUCGCUUAUGCUAUUUUACCUACGCUUAGGAUGUUGACACACGCGCGUGCUCG
RNAcentral lists this ribosomal RNA (778 nucleotides) under uncultured Neocallimastigales. RNAcentral's name for it is "partial large subunit ribosomal RNA". It matches the Rfam family "Eukaryotic large subunit ribosomal RNA", at positions 25 to 644 of the family's 3401-position model. Lineage: Eukaryota; Fungi; Neocallimastigomycota; Neocallimastigomycetes; Neocallimastigales. The record is from RNAcentral.